This 507-nucleotide ribosomal RNA is filed under the name uncultured bacterium. RNAcentral describes it as "partial 16S ribosomal RNA". It matches the Rfam family "Bacterial small subunit ribosomal RNA", at positions 28 to 507 of the family's 1533-position model. The record is from RNAcentral.
GACGAACGCUGGCGGCGUGCCUAAUACAUGCAAGUCGAACGCAUUUUCUUUCACCGUAGCUUGCUACACCGAAAGAAAAUGAGUGGCGAACGGGUGAGUAACACGUGGGUAACCUGCCCAACAGCGGGGGAUAACACGUGGAAACAGGUGCUAAUACCGCAUAAUUCCAUUUACCGCAUGGAAGAUAGAUGAAAGGCGCUUUUGCGGCACUGAUGGAGCGACACGCGGUGCAUUAGCUAGUUGGUGGGGUAACGGCCUACCAAGGCUGCGAUGCAUAGCCGACCUGAGGGGGUGGUCGGCCACACUGGGACUGGGACCCGGCCCAGACUCCUACGGGAGGCAGCAGUAGGGAAUCUUCGGCAAUGGACGCAAGGCUGACCGAGCAACGCCGCGUGAGUGAAGAAGGUUUUCGGAUCGUAAAACUCUGUUGUUAGGGAAGAACAAGGAUGAGAGUGGAAAGUUCAUCCCUUGACGGUAGCUAACCAGAAAGCCACGGCUAACUACGUG